Molecule: ribosomal RNA, 305 nt
Filed under: uncultured bacterium
Lineage: Bacteria
Description: bacterial SSU rRNA
Rfam family: Bacterial small subunit ribosomal RNA
Source: RNAcentral
GCCUACGGGAGGCAGCAGUGAGGAAUAUUGGUCAAUGGACGAGAGUCUGAACCAGCCAAGUAGCGUGAAGGAUGACUGCCCUAUGGGUUGUAAACUUCUUUUAUAAAGGAAUAAAACGAGGCACGUGUGCCUUUUUGCAUGUACUUUAUGAAUAAGGAUCGGCUAACUCCGUGCCAGCAGCCGCGGUAAUACGGAGGAUCCGAGCGUUAUCCGGAUUUAUUGGGUUUAAAGGGUGCGUAGGCGGGCUGUUAAGUCAGCGGUAAAAGCCCGGGGCUCAACCCCGGCGAGCCGUUGAAACUGGCUGU